RNAcentral lists this ribosomal RNA (253 nucleotides) under uncultured bacterium. RNAcentral describes it as "partial 16S ribosomal RNA". It matches the Rfam family "Bacterial small subunit ribosomal RNA", at positions 524 to 776 of the family's 1533-position model. The record is from RNAcentral.
UACGUGGGGGGCAAGCGUUGUCCGGAUUUAUUGGGCGUAAAGCGCUCGCAGGUGGUUCGAUGCGUCGUGCGUGAAAGACCCCGGCUCAACUGGGGAGGGUCGUGCGAUACGGUCGAACUGGAGGCCAGUAGGGGGAUGCGGAAUUCCGGGUGUAGUGGUGGAAUGCGUAGAGAUCCGGAGGAACACCAGCGGCGAAGGCGGCAUCCUGGACUGGUCCUGACACUCAUGAGCGAAAGCGUGGGGAGCGAUCCGG